RNAcentral lists this ribosomal RNA (465 nucleotides) under uncultured bacterium. RNAcentral describes it as "partial 16S ribosomal RNA". It matches the Rfam family "Bacterial small subunit ribosomal RNA", at positions 28 to 507 of the family's 1533-position model. The record is from RNAcentral.
GACGAACGCUGGCGGCGUGCUUAACACAUGCAAGUCGAACGGAAAGGCCCUGCUUGCAGGGUACUCGAGUGGCGAACGGGUGAGUAACACGUGGGUGAUCUGCCCUGCACUUCGGGAUAAGCCUGGGAAACUGGGUCUAAUACCGGAUAGGAGCCAUUUUUAGUGUGAUGGUUGGAAAGUUUUUUCGGUGUAGGAUGAGCUCGCGGCCUAUCAGCUUGUUGGUGGGGUAAUGGCCUACCAAGGCGGCGACGGGUAGCCGGCCUGAGAGGGUGGACGGCCACAUUUGGACUGAGAUACGGCCCAGACGCCUACGGGAGGCAGCAGGGGGGAAUAUUGCACAAUGGGCGCAAGCCUGAUGCAGCGACGCCGCGUGGGGGAUGACGGCCUUCGGGUUGUAAACUCCUUUCGCUAGGGACGAAGCUUUUUGUGACGGUACCUAGAUAAGAAGCACCGGCUAACUACGUG